Molecule: long non-coding RNA, 2086 nt
Filed under: Solanum tuberosum (potato)
Lineage: Eukaryota; Viridiplantae; Streptophyta; Magnoliopsida; Solanales; Solanaceae
Description: long non-coding RNA (STUB_LNC002574)
Source: RNAcentral
UUUAUGAGAGGCAAUGAAAUGCGUCAAGCUCAGGAUGGUCUUUAAGUAUUCUGCCUUUUAUGUAUCUAAUUAUCUUCGUGUUUUUGUUGAUGUCGCUAGCAUGAUUGGAAGGUCCUUUUUGAAAUGUGUCAACCGAUAGAAGAAAUGUAACAAUAUCAAAUGUCUCAGAAGCCAUUGUUGACAUCCCAGUUCCAAAAGAUGUCAAAUUAUAAUUAUGUCCACCGACAAUAGAAGAUGCAGAUGAUCAUUCCAAAUCUAAUAUAGUGUAUGAGGAGAUCAUUCAAAAUGCAUUCACAUGAAAUCCUAACUUCUCUAUCAUUCGGAAGAAAAUCUACUAAACCAAAAAAGCCACCAAAUGUUUUCCAGUAAAAGCUAUUAGAAGACUCCGCACUACGUAACAAGGUUAGUGAAGCUUACACCCCAUUGUUAGAACUUAAAAUAGCACUUUUGAAGGAGUAGAACGAUUUUUUUUCAAAAUGAGAAAUCUUCAAGUUUUUAAAAUGUCUUGCCCAUAUAUUUGUCCGAUUAAAUAGAAUACUUACUUGAUUUUAAAGUUGAUUCAAAUUUUUUGUUUUAGGGUGAUAGAGGUCAAGAAUGAUGACACUCAUAGUAAAAGUUUGAUCUCAAAGUAUAUUUUCUAAUUUGUUGGUGUGAUUUAGUUCUUAAAUUGAGAAGUUUAAAGGUUCAUAGACCCUGACAUGAGUGCUACAAUAAAAAGUAUAUUUCCAUGUUGUUGGUAUUCUAUGUUAAUAGAAACUUCUCCCGCUGAGUUUACAGGUAGCUUCAUGUUCCCUAUCAAUAAAAAGGACUCAAUUGGAUAUGGUAGGUGAUUUACAUGAUCUAUAAUGAUAUUUAGUGGAAAUCAGUUUUCUCUUCUUUCACACAUAAAUGAUUGUGUCUUGAGGGGACAAGCUAAUUUCUUAAAUCAUUAUUGCCGUGUAAAUAUUUGUCACCUGAAUGAUUCUAAUUGAAAUAAAGCAGCAUUGUUGGUAAAAUAAAACUUUAACACUGCAACAAAGAGUAGUACAAAUAGUAGCCUAAAGUGUAUAAACAAGAUCAUUUUUGGAGAUAUUUUUAAUUCACUUGCAGCUCUUCCACGAUGACAUCUGUUAACAGGCGUGGAGUGGAGUGAGCAACAACUAAUUGUCUUUGUAGUUUCAUGUUGUUAGUGUUUUGUGGUGAUAGAAACUUCUCCUCUCAAGUUUGGAGGUUAGCUUCAUGUUCCCUAUCGAUGAAAAAGACUCAAUCAAUUAUUCACGUGGAUCAAAAAUUUGUACCAUAUGCAUUACCGAUAAUAUGGACGAACAAGUGCAUUGUUAUAAUUUUAUAGGAACGAGAUGUGUUAAACUUGAUUCUUCUCAGAAAGUCACAUGUAUUUACUUGAAACACGUGUCUCGCCACCUUUUCCUUUGAUGUUUAAUCUCUCUCUCACUCAAUAUCCAUCUUUUCAGAAGAAAAACUUAUAUGGAGCUUUGAAUUUCUUCGGUAUAUGUUUGUUUCUGGUUACAUGUCCAUGCAUUUUCAGAUUUUCGUUAUUCACUUCCUCCCUGAUUUUCUAUUAUUUUAUGCCCGUAUUCUUCUUCAGACCUAGAUUCCCAAUCUCGAGAUAUUAUCUCCCUUCAUCUAAAAUUUCUGAAGGAGUGGAUUCUUUCGCAUAAUACUAAAAAAAUUAGUAGUUUUACGGUUGAGUUUGUUCUUUAAUCUCUUUUUGAUUUUUUUUAAACUAAAAGCCUCUAACUACUGGAUCAAGCGCACUGGUAAUGGACUGACAGUAAGAUUUUCCCCUCUAUUUGUUAGUAUAACUUAUACAUUCAUUAUACAUAGUUUGUUUUUUAUUUACCAAUUAAUUCCUUUUAAGCUUCCUAUUUAUUUUGCUUUCUUUUGAUAAGAUUCUCAGGUUGAGGUUUGAUGCUAUCUCUGUUAUGAUAGAAACGUGCAAAUGCAAUUCCAUAUAUAAAUAAGCUGGUGACCUUUUUUUUCAAAAGGUAUCUUUAUUCCUUCUGUGUUUCUCCUUCUUAAUGUAUUCCGUUAAAUUUGAUAAAUUUUUCUUAUGUUUUCUUGAGAUACACGUCGUUUGAAGAUUUCC